CGAGCUGGGGAGGUGAUUUAUUAGAUCGUGGCAUACUAACAAUGUCUUUGGCUCCAAGAGAUAAUCAUGAGGCUCAAGUCCAAUUUGCAUUGGAACGCGGAAUUCCGGCGAUCCUUGGCAUCAUUUCCACUCAGCGGCUUCCUUUCCCCUCCAACUCAUUUGAUAUGGCUCAUUGCUCAAGAUGCCUUAUCCCAUGGACUGAAUUUGGUAAUUCCUCUCUUCCAUAUAAUGAUAAGUCUCAGAUGUAAAUUUGGACAAAAUUACAUUAUCAAUAAGUUGUCGCUGAGGUUCAUUGGUUGAUCAUAUACUCAAAAUUUCUUUUUAAUUUUCACUUAAUUUUUAGAGGUUUUAAGUAGUCAAGCAUCCAUUACAAUUACAGAGGUUUACCCUCUAGGUGGAACAGGAAUUCAGGUCAUCAAGCUUUUAUCUUUACAAAAGAAACAACUUAGAGUAAUUUGGCAGCUUUCAUCAAGUUUUCAAGGAAAUUAUGAAUAGCUUAAAAAUUAAGGUAGCACCAACAUAAUGUGUUUUCAGAACAUUUAUCAUUUGAACAGGUUUGUCUUUGUUUCUGAUGUUGAAUUAUGAACGAAAGGAUCAUGUUUGUGUUCUAUUUUUUUAUUUUUUUAUUUUUUUAUUUUUCCAUUUGCUGCUUUUCACCCAUGGAAAUGUCCUGUUUUCAGGUGGAAUAUACCUCCUAGAAGUACACCGCAUACUCCGCCCUGGAGGGUUCUGGGUCCUGUCUGGCCCACCUGUAAACUAUGAAAACCGUUGGCGAGGAUGGAACACAACUGUGGAGGAUCAGAAAAGUGACUAUGAAAAGUUGACUGAGUUGCUCACUUCAAUGUGCUUCAAAUUAUAUAACAAAAAGGAUGACAUCGCUGUGUGGCAAAAGUCCUCCGACAAUAACUGCUACCAACAACUUUCUAGCCCUGAUGUGUAUCCACCCAAGUGUGAUGAUGGCACUGAACCAGAUGCAGCAUGGUACACUCCCCUCCGCCCUUGUGUUGUUGUUCCUGAACCGAAGUACAAGAAACUAGGGCUGAAGUCCGUCCCCAAGUGGCCAGAACGGUUGAAUGUUGCACCAGAUCGCAUUUCAGCUAUCCAUGGUGGGAGUGCGAGUACCUUCAAGCAUGAU
RNAcentral lists this long non-coding RNA (1135 nucleotides) under Vitis vinifera (wine grape). RNAcentral's name for it is "long non-coding RNA (VVIN_LNC000557)". Lineage: Eukaryota; Viridiplantae; Streptophyta; Magnoliopsida; Vitales; Vitaceae. The record is from RNAcentral.